CAGAUAUAGCUUGGAUGGAAUUGGUGAGUCUCCCUACUUAUUUACAUUCCUAAAAAUGUCCAUUGUUGUAUGGAGUAGUUGGUUCGGUGCAUGAACCCCCUAUAUAGGCACUAGAGGCACUUCUUCCUUUGGGAGGUAUAACUACACCAUUACCAGGCUUUUUAAUCCCCAAACAAUUCUACAAUUUUUGGGUCACUCCUAUGAAAAUGAAUGCAUUAAGCCAUUUACACACGCUUUAUUGUAAAUUCUUGUGUGUGCAGCCAGACUACCCUCUUCACAAGCAUAUUUGCAAUCUCAACUGUCUGUACCUAUUAUUUUGAAAUUCCAAAAAAAGAAAAAAAGGUAUUGAAAUUUCAAAAUGUUCAACAAGAAAUGACUGGAAAUAAUGUGUCCUAGAGGGCUAAAAUGUCUUCUGAUCUAAUAGACAAAUCUUGUUAAUCAGAGAGCUCUUGUUACUGUUGGUUGAAGCUUCUGUAAAUGGGCUUCCUUCUCAUUUUUCAAUUUUUUUUACACCCACAUUUUAUUUGGUUCCAAAAUGAUGUAGACUGAAGUGAUAUAGAAGGAUUUAAUAUCGCAACUGGUAAUAGAAAUUUGAGUGCUAAAUAAAGCUAAAUGGAGGGAAAGGAGCCUUAUAGCCAACUCCAACAAGUUUGGGAUUAAUGCUUUGUUCAGCUGAGUUGAGUUUUAUUAUGUUUCUUGGGGUCCCUCAUGUUUUUUUAAUUCUUUAAUAACAUUUGAUUAUCAAAUAAGAGAGCAUUACAAUCCUCCACUAAUUUGUAUUAUAUUAGGCUUGCACCUUUUGGAUUUUAGUUAUAUUUGAUUUGUUUAACCUUUAAUGGAGUAAAGGAAAAAUUAACUUGCAAGAAAAAUUUUAAAUGGACAAGUAGGUUCAGAAAGAUUUUUUUUUCUUAAUAUUAAAUCUUUUGGUUUACCUUUGAUAUUACCCUGUCAGGUGGUUAAGCUUUUAGCAUUCCAUCAAAGUCUGAUAAUCUGAUGAGCAUUUGUUUUUUUAUUUCUUAUUUUUUCCCUAUAUAUAUAUAUAUAUUAUGUAGGACUCUAAGCUGGAUGUGACUAU
RNAcentral lists this unclassified non-coding RNA (1075 nucleotides) under Hevea brasiliensis (rubber tree). Lineage: Eukaryota; Viridiplantae; Streptophyta; Magnoliopsida; Malpighiales; Euphorbiaceae. The record is from RNAcentral.